Molecule: ribosomal RNA, 2922 nt
Filed under: Wigglesworthia glossinidia endosymbiont of Glossina morsitans morsitans (Yale colony)
Lineage: Bacteria; Pseudomonadati; Pseudomonadota; Gammaproteobacteria; Enterobacterales; Erwiniaceae
Description: bacterial LSU rRNA
Rfam family: Bacterial large subunit ribosomal RNA
Source: RNAcentral
AGUUAAGUAAUUAAGCGUGCACAGUGGAUGCCUAGGUAGUCAGAGGCGAAGAAGGACGUGCUAAUCUGCGAAAAGCGUCGGCUAGCUGAUACGAAGCGUUAUUAACCGGCGAUAUCCGAAUGGGGAAACCCGAUACAAUUUUGUAUCAGCAUUAAAUGAAUUCAUAAUUUAAUGCAGCAAACCAAGAGAACUGAAACAUCUUAGUAUCUUGAGGAAAAGAAAUCAACCGAGAUUCCCUCAGUAGUGGCGAGCGAACAGGGAACAGCCCAGAGCAAUUGCAACACGUAUGCUAUAAGAAUAGUAUGGAAAGACUAGCAAUAAAGAGUGAUAGCCUCGUAUUUUAAAGCAUACAAAAUUGUAGCUCUUAUGAGUAAAACGAGACACGUGAUAUCUUGUUUGAAGAUGGGGGGACCAUCCUCCAAGGCUAAAUACUCCUGACUAACCGAUAGUGAACUAGUACCGUGAGGGAAAGGUGAAAAGAACCCCGGCGAGGGGAGUGAAAUAGAACCUGAAACUGUGUACGUACAAGCAGUAGGAGCAUUAAAACAACAAUGUGACUGCGUACCUUUUGUAUAAUGGGUCAGCGACUUAUAUUUUGUAGCAAGGUUAACUGUCAUAAGGGAGCCGUAGGGAAACCGAGUCUUAACUGGGCGUUAAGUUGCAAGAUAUAGACCCGAAACCCGGUGAUCUAGCCAUGAGCAGGUUGAAGGUUAGGUAACACUGACUGGAGGACCGAACCGACUAAUGUUGAAAAAUUAGCGGAUGACUUGUGGUUAGGGGUGAAAGGCCAAUCAAACCGGGAGAUAGCUGGUUCUCCUCGAAAGCUAUUUAGGUAGCGCCUCGUGCAUUCAUCUUCGGGGGUAGAGCACUGUUUCGGUUAGGGGUCUUAUCCAGACUACCAAUCCGAUGCAAACUACGAAUACCGAACAAUGUUAUCACGGGAGACACACGGCGGGUGCUAACGUCCGUCGUGGAAAGGGAAACAACCCAGACCGUCGGCUAAGGUCCCAAAGUCAUAAUUAAGUGGGAAACGAUGUGGGAGGUCUUAGACAGCCAGGAUGUUGGCUUAGAAGCAGCCAUCAUUUAAAGAAAGCGUAAUAGCUCACUGGUCGAGUCAACCUGCGCGAAAAAUGUAACGGGGCUCAAAUUAUGCACCGAAGCUGCGGCAAUAAUUUUUAAAAUUAUUGGGUAGAGGAGCGUUCUGUAAGCUUGAGAAGAUAUAUUGUAAAAUAUAUUGGAGGUAUCAGAAGUGCGAAUGCUGACAUAAGUAACGAUAAAGCAGGUGAAAAACCUGCUCGCCGAAAAACUAAGGAUUCCUGUUCAACGUUAAUCGAAGCAGGGUAAGUCGACCCCUAAGGCGAGGCCGAAAGGCGUAGUCGAUGGACAACAGGUUAAUAUUCCUGUACUAAACAUAGUUGUGAUGGGGGGACGGAGCAAGCUAAAUUCGCCAGGUGACGGUUAUCCUGGUUCAAGCAGGUAGGUGGAAAAGUAGGCAAAUCCGCUUUUUUUAACAUCGAGAUGUGAUAACGAAUCACUGUUGAGUGAUGAAGGAAUCUACGCUAUACUUCCAAGAAAAUCCUCUAAACGAUAUAAGCUAUGUUUAAUCGUACCUCAAACCGACACAGGUAGUUUGGUAGAGCAUACUAAGGCGCUUGAGAGAACUCAGGUGAAGGAACUAGGCAAAAUAGUGCCGUAACUUCGGGAGAAGGCACGCUGAAAUAUAGUGAGAAAGCUAGCCUUUUAAGCUAAAAUCAGUCGAAGAUACCAGCUGGCUGCAACUGUUUAUUAAAAACACAGCACUGUGCAAACACGAAAGUGGAAGUAUACGGUGUGACGCCUGCCCGGUGCCGGAAGGUUAAUUGAAGAAGUUUACCCUACUACUUUGUAGGGAAAUGCUUUUGAUCGAAGCCCCGGUAAACGGCGGCCGUAACUAUAACGGUCCUAAGGUAGCGAAAUUCCUUGUCGGGUAAGUUCCGACCUGCACGAAUGGCGUAAUGAUGGCCAGACUGUCUCCACCUGAGACUCAGUGAAAUUGAAUUCGCCGUGAAGAUGCGGUGUACCCGCGGCAAGACGGAAAGACCCCGUGAACCUUUACUAUAGCUUGAUAUUGAAUCUUGAACAUUAACGUGUAGGAUAGGUGGGAGAUAAUGAAGUAUAAACGCCAGUUUAUAUGGAAUCGUCCUUGAAAUACCACCCUUUAAUAUUUAAUAUUCUAAUUCUGACCCGUAACCCGGGUCGAAGACAAUGUCUGGUGGGUAGUUUGACUGGGGCGGUCUCCUCCUAAAGAGUAACGGAGGAGCACAAAGGUUAGCUAAUCACGGUCGGACAUCGUGAGUUUAGUGCAAAGGCAUAAGCUAGCUUAACUGCGAGAGUGACAAUUCAAGCAGAUGCGAAAGCAGGUCUUAGUGAUCCGGUGGUUCCGAAUGGAAGAGCCAUCGCUCAACGGAUAAAAGGUACUCCGGGGAUAACAGGCUAAUACCGCCCAAGAGUUCAUAUCGACGGCGGUGUUUGGCACCUCGAUGUCGGCUCAUCACAUCCUGGGGCUGUAGUAGGUCCCAAGGGUAUGGCUGUUCGCCAUUUAAAGUGGUACGCGAGCUGGGUUUAGAACGUCGUGAGACAGUUCGGUCCCUAUCUGCCGUGGGCGUUGGAAGAUUGAAAGGAGCUGCUCCUAGUACGAGAGGACCGGAGUGGACGUACCUAUGGUGUACGGGUUGUCAUGCCAAUGGCACUGCCCGGUAGCUAUGUACGGACGAGAUAACCGCUGAAAGCAUCUAAGCGGGAAGCUUCCCUUAAGAUAAAUCUUCCCAGAAACUUUUAUGUUUCCUAAAGGGACGUUAAAGACUAUGACGUUGAUAGGUCGGAUGUGUAAGCAUUGCAAGAUGUUUAGCUAACCGAUACUAAUGACCCGUGAGGCUUAACUUU